AGUGAACGCUGGCGGCAGGCCUAAUACAUGCAAGUCGUACGGCAACACAGUUGCGAGCAAUCGCAACCGGUGGCGAGUGGCGCACGGGUGAGUAACGCGUAUGUAACCUACCCUUCUCCGGGACAUAACUCCGCGAAAGCGGUGCUAAUAUCCCAUACCAACUCAUCAAGACAUCUUCUUGAGUUGAAAGCAGCAAUGCGGUGAAGGAUGGGCAUGCGUCCCAUUAGCUGGUUGGUGAGGUAAUGGCCCACCAAGGCUACGAUGGGUAGGGGUUCUGAGAGGAAAGCCCCCCACACUGGUACUGAGACACGGACCAGACUCCUACGGGAGGCAGCAGUAAGGAAUAUUGGGCAAUGGUCGAAAGACUGACCCAGCCAUGCCGCGUGCAGGAUGAAGGCCCUAUGGGUUGUAAACUGCUUUUAGCCGGGAAUAAACACCCGUUUUAUAACGGGCCCGAAGGUACCGGCUGAAUAAGCAUCGGCUAACUCCGUG
RNAcentral lists this ribosomal RNA (492 nucleotides) under uncultured bacterium. RNAcentral's name for it is "bacterial SSU rRNA". It matches the Rfam family "Bacterial small subunit ribosomal RNA", at positions 29 to 507 of the family's 1533-position model. The record is from RNAcentral.